AUUGAACGCUGGCGGCAUGCCUUACACAUGCAAGUCGAACGGUAACAGGUCUUCGGAUGCUGACGAGUGGCGAACGGGUGAGUAAUACAUCGGAACGUGCCUAGUAGUGGGGGAUAACUACUCGAAAGAGUGGCUAAUACCGCAUGAGAUCUACGGAUGAAAGCAGGGGAUCGCAAGACCUUGUGCUACUAGAGCGGCCGAUGGCAGAUUAGGUAGUUGGUGGGAUAAAAGCUUACCAAGCCGACGAUCUGUAGCUGGUCUGAGAGGGCGAUCAGCCACACUGGGACUGAGAAACGGCCUAGACUCCUACGGGAGGCAGCAGUGGGGAAUUUUGGACAAUGGGCGCAAGCCUGAUCAGCAAUGCCGCGUGCAGGAUGAAGGCCUUCGGGUUGUAAACUGCUUUUGUACGGAACGAAAAGCCCCGGGUUAAUACCCUGAGGUCAUGACGGUACCGUAAGAAUAAGCACCGGCUAACUACGUGCCAGCAGCCGCCGUAA
This 497-nucleotide ribosomal RNA is filed under the name uncultured bacterium. Its description in RNAcentral is "partial 16S ribosomal RNA". It matches the Rfam family "Bacterial small subunit ribosomal RNA", at positions 30 to 523 of the family's 1533-position model. The record is from RNAcentral.